This 338-nucleotide ribosomal RNA is filed under the name uncultured bacterium. RNAcentral's name for it is "bacterial SSU rRNA". It matches the Rfam family "Bacterial small subunit ribosomal RNA", at positions 28 to 342 of the family's 1533-position model. The record is from RNAcentral.
GACGAACGCUGGCGGCGUGCUUAACACAUGCAAGUCGAACGAGAGGAGAAGGAAGCUUGCUUCUUUCAAAUCUAGUGGCAAACGGGUGAGUAACACGUAAACAACCUGCCUUCAGGAUGGGGACAACAGACGGAAACGACUGCUAAAUACCGAAUACGUUCCUUAGGUCGCAUGACUUUAGGAAGAAAGGGUGGCCUCUACUUGUAAGCUAUCGCCUGAAGAGGGGUUUGCGUCUGAUUAGGUAGUUGGUGAGUAACGGCCCACCAAGCCGACGAUCAGUAGCCGGUCUGAGAGGAUGAACGGCCACACUGGAACUGAGACACGGUCCAGACUCCUAC